RNAcentral lists this non-coding RNA (109 nucleotides) under Ruminococcaceae bacterium CPB6. RNAcentral describes it as "TPP riboswitch aptamer (THI element)". It matches the Rfam family "TPP riboswitch aptamer (THI element)". Rfam says of the family: Vitamin B(1) in its active form thiamin pyrophosphate (TPP) is an essential coenzyme that is synthesised by coupling of pyrimidine and thiazole moieties in bacteria. The previously detected thiamin-regulatory element, thi box was extended, resulting in a new, highly conserved RNA secondary structure, the THI element, which is widely distributed in eubacteria and also occurs in some archaea. RNAcentral also lists the same sequence under 1 other name. Lineage: Bacteria; Bacillati; Bacillota; Clostridia; Eubacteriales; Oscillospiraceae. The record is from Rfam by way of RNAcentral.
UCAAAUAUUCAGGGGAGCUUGUCUACAGCAAGCUGAGAGGAAGUUUUACACUUCGACCCUUUAACCUGAUGUGGGCAAUGCCACCGUAGGGAGUAAGGAAAUACUUGCU